AUGGAGCCGACAGAGGACAUUGAGUUCCUCUGGAAGUGGCGCAAGUACCUGCUGCUGCUCGCCACGCUGGUCGCCAGCGUCACCUACGGCGCCGGCCUCAACCCGCCCGGCGGCGUGUGGUCCAAGGACCACGAUGGAGGCAACACCCCACAGCAGCGCCCCCGCGCCGUCAACCCGCCGGCGCCCCCGUCCCUUGCGGUGUCCCCGGCGCCGGCGGUCUACCCAUUCCGCGUCGGCGAUCCCGUGCUGGUGUCCACCUACUCGGCCCGGUACACCGCCUUCUUCUACUGCAACGCCACAGCCUUCGUGGCGUCGCUGGUCAUCAUCAUGUUCCUGCUGGAUCGGCGCCUCAGCGGCAACCGCGUCGGCCUCACCGUGCUCCGCUCCGCCAUGCUGCUUGACCUGCUGGCUCUCAUGGCCGCCUUCGCUGCCGGGAGCUGCCGCAGCGUGCCUGGGUCCAUCUAUGUCUCCUUGCUCUUCGCCGUCGUCUUCGUCUACGUCGCCAUCCACCUCCGCGUGGCCUCGAGGACGGAAGCGCCGGCCGCGGACGCGGAGGAGAAGAGGCGCCUCAAGGAGCAGCGCAAGUUCCUGCUGCUGCUGGCCACCUUCGCGACGCCGCUGGCGUACGGCGCGGGGCUGGCGCCGCCGGGAGGCUUCUGGAGCGAGACCCAGGAUAUGCACCGCGCCGGCGCUCCGCUGCUGCACGACGGGCCCUACAAGAUCCGCUACCACAUAUUCUUCUACGCCAAUGCCAACUCCUUCGUGGCCUCCCUCGCCAUCAUCAUGCUGCUCAUGAGCAGGACGCUAAGCGACCGUCUCGUCCGGUCCAAAGCUUUGCUUGUGUGCGUCCUGGGGGAACUGCUUGGCCUCAUGAUCGCUUAUGCCGCCGGGAGCUGCAGGUGGAUCCCCACCACCGUGUACAUCGUCUCCCUCGUCGGCGCCGUGGUCAUCUACAUUGUGUUGGUGCCAGCGUUCGGCCUCGACGCGAUCGAAGAAUGGCGUAAGAAACUCGUUGCCUGUGUUGGCCUUGGGCCAAAAGGUGAUGGGCAAGAAGUUGCAGCGAGGACAAUCAACAUCGGUGCUCGGCAAGAAGUUGCAGCGAGGACAAUCAACAUCGAAGAAAAGCUGGAGCAGACGCGGUCGCUUGUGCUGCUGCUGGCCACGCUGGCGGCGACGGUGACGUACCAGGCAGGGCUGAGCCCGCCGGGCGGCGUCUGGCCCGAAGGGCAUCAGAAUCGCAUCGCGGGGAACCCGGUUCUCCACGACAUGCACCUCAAGAGGUACAUGGCCUUCUACCACUGCAACACGGCGGCGUUCGUGGCGUCCGUGGUUGUUAUCAUCAUCGUCCAGAGCAAGGUGCUGAGCACCGUCUGGGGUGCCAUGCUCCUCAAGACUGCCAUGAUACUGGACCUGUUCGGCCUCAUGGGCGCCUAUGUUGCCGGGAGCUGCCGGGAUCCCACCACCACCAUCUUCGUCGCCGCGCUGGCCGUCGCCGUCUUCCUCUACACCAUGGCCAAGGUCGUGGGCAAGCAGAGCUGGCUGGCACGGUGGGUGCAACGCAUGCUUGUAGCGUUGCUCCCCCCUGAGUUGCCCCGGAAAGGAGGAGGAGACGCACCUCAAGCUAUCAACCUCCCCGACGAGCCGUCCCAGCAAGGAGGAGAAGCACCUCAAGAAGCUUUCCAUGUCAUCCACAAUCCUGACGAGUCGUCCCGGCAAGGAGAAGAAGCGGCGCAUGUUCCUGCUGCUGCUGUUGUGCACCUUGGUGGCGAGUCGUUCCGGCAAAGAGGAGAAGAAGCAACUCAAGGAGCGGCACAAGUUCCUCCGCUUGGAUCUGAGCGUAUUCUUGAAGAAAAAAAGCUCGAGAGGAAGCGCAAGUUCUUGCUGCAACUCGCCAUCCUCGCCGCCACCGUCACGUACCAGACAGGGCUGAACCCGCCGGGCGGAUUCUGGACGGAGAGCAAUGGGGAUAAGUUAGUCACCGCCGGCGACCCAAUCCUCCUCGACUACUACGGGGUCAGAUACCAGGUGUUCUUCUACUGCAACGCGGCGGGGUUCAUGGCGUCCGUCACCGUCAUUCUCCUCCUGGUGAACCAGACGUUGUCCAAGCCGGGCAUCCGGACCAAGGCGCUCUACGUAUGCGUCAUGGUCGGGCUACUGGGCCUCAUGGGCGCCUACGCCGCAGGCAGCUGCCGGAAGCUGCGCACCUCCAUCUAUGUCUUUGCACUCGUGGCGGCCGUCGUGGCCUUCCUCAUCCUGGAGAUCCUACUUCAUUGGCUCGGCCGCAGGGGUUGGUCCAAGUGCCUCCCUAAGUGCCUAACGAGGCUGUUUGAGACAUUGUCGACUGGGCCGGGCGGUGGCAGCAAGAACAAGAGCGAUCAGGAGGUGAUCACCACCGUGGAUAAACUAGAGAGCGAGGACUAUGAGAAGCGUAAGUACCUGAUGGUGCUCGGCAUCCUGGCGGCGAGCGUGACGUACCAGGCUGGUCUCGCGCCUCCCGGCGGCACGUGGGGCGACGACGAUACCGCUUCGUCGUCGCCCUUGCCGUCCCCAUCGGCACACCCACCCACCGUCGCCGGCAACCCGAUCCUGCUUGACUUCAAUGCUGCACGGUACCAGGCCUUCUUCUACUGCAACGCAACGUCGUUCGUGGCCUCGGUCGUCGUCAUCUUGAUGCUGCUGCAACGCACCACGAAGAAGCAGCAGCCCGGCGCGCCACUGCGGGCAUUGCAGACCGCUGUGGUCCUGGACCUGCUCGGCCUGCUGGGCGCGUACGCCGCUGGCAGCUGCAGGGACUGGGAGACGUCAUCGUACGUCAUCGCGCUCGUCGCGGCAGUGGUCGUCUUCACCUUGAUCUACGUGUUGUUGUCAUUCAACGUCGUGCGGGCAAAGGCCGAGGAGCUCACGGUGUGGAAAUACUUUUCACAAAAGGGGUUGAACUACUCGGGAGCACGCAAUGAUCAUGAUCAGCCAGCCGGAAAUGGUGUGUAA
This 2988-nucleotide ribosomal RNA is filed under the name Triticum aestivum (bread wheat). RNAcentral describes it as "partial small subunit ribosomal RNA". The record is from RNAcentral. Lineage: Eukaryota; Viridiplantae; Streptophyta; Magnoliopsida; Poales; Poaceae.